ACUUCUUCUUCCUCUAAA
This 18-nucleotide small RNA is filed under the name Arabidopsis thaliana (thale cress). RNAcentral describes it as "ATSL122400". The record is from RNAcentral. Lineage: Eukaryota; Viridiplantae; Streptophyta; Magnoliopsida; Brassicales; Brassicaceae.